This 277-nucleotide long non-coding RNA is filed under the name Glycine max (soybean). RNAcentral describes it as "long non-coding RNA (GMAX_LNC004758)". Lineage: Eukaryota; Viridiplantae; Streptophyta; Magnoliopsida; Fabales; Fabaceae. The record is from RNAcentral.
UUGCUCAGAGCUUCAACAUUCAAUUUCGAGCCUUCGAAUAUAUUACGGGACUCAAUAAGACAUCCGAGUAAAAAGUUUUUGUCGUUUGAAUUUGCUCAGAGCUUCGGUAUUCCAUUUCGAGCGUCUCGAUAUAUUACGGGACUCAAUCAGACAUCCGAGUAAAAAGUUAUUGUCGUUUGAAUUUGCUCAGAGCUUCUACAUUCAAUUUCGAGCUUUUCGAUAUAUUACGGGACUCAAUCAGAUAUCCGAGUAAAAAGUUAUAGUCGUUUGAAUUUUC